Molecule: ribosomal RNA, 406 nt
Filed under: uncultured bacterium
Lineage: Bacteria
Description: partial 16S ribosomal RNA
Rfam family: Bacterial small subunit ribosomal RNA
Source: RNAcentral
AUUGAACGCUGGCGGCAGGCCUAACACAUGCAAGUCGAGCGAGCGGCGGACGGGUGAGUAAUGUAUGGGGAACUGCCUGAUGGAGGGGGAUAACUACUGGAAACGGUAGCUAAUACCGCAUACCAUCGGAUGUGCCCAGAUGGGAUUAGCUAGUAGGUGGGGUAACGGCUCACCUAGGCGACGAUCCCUAGCUGGUCUGAGAGGAUGACCAGCCACACUGGAACUGAGACACGGCCCAGACUCUUACGGGAGGCAGCAGUGGGGAAUAUUGCACAAUGGGCGCAAGCCUGAUGCAGCCAUGCCGCGUGUGUGAAGAAGGCCUUCGGGUUGUAAAGAACUUUCAGCGGGGAGGCGUUACCCGCAGAAGAAGCACCGGCUAACUCCGUGCCAGCAGCCGCGGUAAUUC